AUUUAUUACCAGUUUACUGGAUCACUCGUGAAUUCCGGAACGACACCGUGACGCUCAGAAACGCGGCGCAAACCCCAGAGUGGAUUUGCAGGUUUAUGUUGCAGUUUACGGCUGACCGGACUCGUAUAUGACGAAAUUCGCGCAGCGCAGCAAAAAGACGUGCGAAAUACGCGGGAACUCCAUUUAGGACCCUGUGUGUUUCCGUGUGUGUGUGUGCGGUUGCGGGUACUGGUGAGUGAGACAGUUUCAUAAACACCCGAAUCGCUGUGGAUGAGACACAAGCCGUUUUAGCAACAGCUGAUGACACGUUUGGGGGCGCCCCAAAAUGAAGCGCAGGAUAAACACGGCGGGGAUGAGAGAUCGAAAGGUCAAAGUGCGUUGCAUACGUGAGUGGUUCGAACGGAUUGCGAAAAGCCCACCGAACUCGAGGACCCUACUUCGCAGCUCUAACGAGCAGCACCACUUCAGAGCCCAUUUCGAGCUGAUAGUAAUCCCACUAACGAUGUACUUCAAAAAUAAUCAAGUUGCGAAACGGGUUUGUUAAAUUGUGAGCGUGCAUAAAAAUGAAAGAGAAAAUGUAGUUUUAACCAUAUGGAAAUACAAAUGUAUAUAUAACUU
RNAcentral lists this long non-coding RNA (618 nucleotides) under Drosophila melanogaster (fruit fly). RNAcentral describes it as "long non-coding RNA:CR43488 (Dmel_CR43488)". Lineage: Eukaryota; Metazoa; Arthropoda; Insecta; Diptera; Drosophilidae. The record is from RNAcentral.